UGGAUGGUAAGGAUUUAGGUUAAGGCUAGGGCUAGGAUUGGGAUGGUGGUGGGGAGGGUUAGGAUUAGUGCUGGGGUUAGGAUUAGGGUUUGGUCCACGGAAGUGGGGAUGGCAGUGGGUCAAGGUUAAGGUUUGGAUGACAAAGGUGGAGAUGGCGGACGGUUAGGGUUGGGAUGGUAAGGGUUCAAGUUAUGGCUAGGGCUG
RNAcentral lists this long non-coding RNA (204 nucleotides) under Elaeis guineensis (African oil palm). RNAcentral describes it as "long non-coding RNA (EGUI_LNC018857)". The record is from RNAcentral. Lineage: Eukaryota; Viridiplantae; Streptophyta; Magnoliopsida; Arecales; Arecaceae.